UUAGAUUUCCCUUUAUACUGAUGAGAAAACAGUGCGCGCYAUAUUAGCUGCUUGGCUUGGUCAACAAAGGAACGCACACACUGGGAUUAUUUUGUGAACAAUCAAGAUUCUUUAGCUGAAGAUGAUGUCUAAGAAGCUUCUUAUUUUAUUUGUGAUUGUGAUGCUGACGGUGUCUCUGAGUGAGUCAGUACCAAGGGUUAAGGGUUCAAAUGUAGAUCUUGCUCGACUUUUGAGGAUCUUGAAAGCCAAGAGGUAUUAUGAGAAUGACCUAGACUGCGACUUUAGAGGUUGCAGGGGUAGCGGUGACUGCUGUGGAGGAUACACAUGUAAGGGGGGAAGAUGCUCAAAAUCUUAAAACCGGAAUGAAAUUCAGUUUCGAAAUAAGCUGAUCAUAGAAUGAAGUCAAAGCACAAGCAUAGWGACCUUAAAUAAAUAUUCCUCUUCUCAACCAUCUAUUUGAUAAAUGAUAAUUAAAUGAUGUUUGUUUA
Long non-coding RNA from Exaiptasia diaphana, 488 nucleotides. RefSeq lists it as uncharacterized. The transcript is spliced from 4 exons. The record is from RefSeq and is a predicted model, not a curated record. Lineage: Eukaryota; Metazoa; Cnidaria; Anthozoa; Actiniaria; Aiptasiidae.